Molecule: ribosomal RNA, 275 nt
Filed under: uncultured bacterium
Lineage: Bacteria
Description: partial 16S ribosomal RNA
Rfam family: Bacterial small subunit ribosomal RNA
Source: RNAcentral
CCUACGGGAGGCUGCAGUCGAGAAUCUUCGGCAAUGGACGCAAGUCUGACCGAGCGACGCCGCGUGUGGGAUGAAGGCCUUCGGGUUGUAAACCACUGUCAGUGGGGAGGAAGGCUCCGUGAAGAGCGGGGUUUGACCUAUCCGCAGAGGAAGUGAGGGCUAAGCUCGUGCCAGCAGCCGCGGUAAGACGAGCCUCACGAACGUUAUUCGGAAUUACUGGGCUUAAAGGGUGCGUAGGCGGCGCGGAAAGUAGGGUGUGAAAUCCCUCGGCUCAA